UUUUAAUUGAAGGCUUGAAUGAAUGGUUGGACGAGAUAUAAACUUUCUUUAAUUUAAUCAAUGAACUUAAUCUUUUAGUUAAAAAGCUAAAAUAUAUUUGAGGGACGAGAAGACCCUAUAGAUCUUAAUAAAUAAUACUUUCAUAAGUUUUGGACUAUAUAUAUUUAUGAAAGUAUUAUUUAUUUAGUUGGGGUGACUUUAGAAUAAAAUUAACUUCUAAUUUUUUUUUUCAUUAAUUAGUGUAUUUAUGAUCCAAAAGGUUUGAUUAAAAGAUUAAGUUACCUUAGGGAUAACAGCGUAAUUUCUUUGGAGAG
Molecule: ribosomal RNA, 314 nt
Filed under: Hiranetis sp. 00004092
Lineage: Eukaryota; Metazoa; Arthropoda; Insecta; Hemiptera; Reduviidae
Description: partial 16S ribosomal RNA
Source: RNAcentral